UACGGUUGACAUAUCCAACACGGGUGCAUUCAAUUCUUUUAAAGUUUUAUCUUGUAUUUGGAGGGUGCAUGGAAAUUCAUAUCCCCAUGCUCAUUCCCAAAUAUGCAUUAGGCAUGGGUACUUAAAGAAAAGCAUAGAGUUGGAAUGGUUAUUAGCAAAAGCAAAAUAUUUAGUAAACUUGUUCCCUUUUGUGUAGGAAGAGGACUUGUAUGAAAUAGAUAUUCCCUUGAAAUUCACAGCAUCUGUCGGGACUAGAGUCCACGGGUUGGCCUGUUGGUUCGAUGUUCUGUUCAAUGGAAGGUAAUAUUUUAAAAUUUUGCUUUAUUCAUCAGAACUGGUGUUUCAUCCUAUCUAAAUGCAAUCAAACUGCUUUAUUGACAGUACCGUGCAAAGAUGGCUUACGACCGCCCCUGGUGCACCUACAACACACUGGUACCAGAUACGAUGUGUCCUCUCACAGCCGAUUUACGUUAUGGCCGGGCAAGAAAUAACAGGCCGACUUCAUAUGAUUGCCCAUAAUGCUCAAAGUUAU
Molecule: long non-coding RNA, 532 nt
Filed under: Gossypium barbadense (sea-island cotton)
Lineage: Eukaryota; Viridiplantae; Streptophyta; Magnoliopsida; Malvales; Malvaceae
Description: long non-coding RNA (GBAR_LNC019240)
Source: RNAcentral